GGGUGCUUGAUCUAGCUCGGCUAGGAUGUCGGACUCCAGAUCUUCCAGCAAUUCGGGGACAUCCGAUUGCCGUGGGUUCAAAUCCCACAGCGCCCA
This 96-nucleotide transfer RNA is filed under the name Promethearchaeota archaeon CR_4. RNAcentral's name for it is "Candidatus Lokiarchaeota archaeon CR_4 tRNA-Trp". It matches the Rfam family "tRNA". From Rfam's summary of the family: Transfer RNA (tRNA) molecules are approximately 80 nucleotides in length. Their secondary structure includes four short double-helical elements and three loops (D, anti-codon, and T loops). Further hydrogen bonds mediate the characteristic L-shaped molecular structure. tRNAs have two regions of fundamental functional importance: the anti-codon, which is responsible for specific mRNA codon recognition, and the 3' end, to which the tRNAs corresponding amino acid is attached (by aminoacyl-tRNA synthetases). tRNAs cope with the degeneracy of the genetic code in two manners: having more than one tRNA (with a specific anti-codon) for a particular amino acid; and 'wobble' base-pairing, i.e. permitting non-standard base-pairing at the 3rd anti-codon position. Lineage: Archaea; Promethearchaeati; Promethearchaeota. The record is from RNAcentral.